This 497-nucleotide ribosomal RNA is filed under the name uncultured bacterium. Its description in RNAcentral is "partial 16S ribosomal RNA". It matches the Rfam family "Bacterial small subunit ribosomal RNA", at positions 28 to 507 of the family's 1533-position model. The record is from RNAcentral.
GAUGAACGCUGGCGGCGUGCCUAAUACAUGCAAGUCGAGCGAACAGACGAGGAGCUUGCUCCUCUGACGUUAGCGGCGGACGGGUGAGUAACACGUGGAUAACCUACCUAUAAGACUGGGAUAACUUCGGGAAACCGGAGCUAAUACCGGAUAAUAUAUUGAACCGCAUGGUUCAAUAGUGAAAGACGGUUUUGCUGUCACUUAUAGAUGGAUCCGCGCCGCAUUAGCUAGUUGGUAAGGUAACGGCUUACCAAGGCAACGAUGCGUAGCCGACCUGAGAGGGUGAUCGGCCACGCUGGAACUGAGACACGGUCCAGACUCCUACGGGAGGCAGCAGUAGCGAAUCUUCCGCAAUGGGCGAAAGCUUGACGGAGCAACGCCGCGUGAGUGAUGAAGGUCUUCGGAUCGUAAAACUCUGUUAUUAGGGAAGAACAAAUGUGUAAGUAACUAUGCACGUCUUGACGGUACCUAAUCAGAAAGCCACGGCUAACUACGUG